GACGAACGCUGCCGGCGUGCCUAAUACAUGCAAGUAGAACGCAGUUGCGAACGGGUGAGUAACGCGUAGGUAACUGCCUGGUAGCGGGGGAUAACUAUUUGAAACGAUAGCUAAUACCGCAUACUACCAGAUGGCCCUGCGUUGUAUUAGCUAGUUGGUGAGGGAACGGCUCACCAAGGCAACGAUACCUAGCCGAACGUGUAGGGUGAUCGGCCAAACUGGGACUGAGACACGGCCCAGACUCCUACGGGAGGCAGCAGUAGGGAAUCUGCGGCAAUGGGGGGAACCCUGACCGAUCAACGCCGCGUGAGUGAAGAAGGUUUUCGGAUCGUAAAGCUCUGUUGUUAAGGAAGCGGUACUUAACCAGAAAGGUACGGCUAACUACGUGCCAGCAGCCGCGGUAAUUC
RNAcentral lists this ribosomal RNA (407 nucleotides) under uncultured bacterium. RNAcentral describes it as "partial 16S ribosomal RNA". It matches the Rfam family "Bacterial small subunit ribosomal RNA", at positions 28 to 526 of the family's 1533-position model. The record is from RNAcentral.